Molecule: long non-coding RNA, 572 nt
Filed under: Mytilus galloprovincialis (Mediterranean mussel)
Lineage: Eukaryota; Metazoa; Mollusca; Bivalvia; Mytilida; Mytilidae
Source: RNAcentral
GAUGAAAUAUUACCAGCAACGUUAACAAAGACAAGUACUAUAAACACUGAGAGUGUUUAAAUGGAUAGCGAGCGAUUAUCAUGUACUCUGCAUAUCUUUAAUAUACAAUUUCGUUUUAUGUUUCAAAAAUAGUUAAAAAAAAAUAAUGAUGAUGAUGUUGGAAGGCUGUUUAUAAACUGGUACAGUGUCAAAUUAAAUUCGUACUCGUGACUUUGUAAUUUCCAGUGUCAAAUUAAAUUCAUAUUCGUGACAAGAACAUAUUCAUCAAUGAAGGGACCAUGGUAUCCCGAUUUGUACUAAACCAACUUAAUGUGCUAGCUCACAAGGUAAUAAAUAUUCCUAGCAGAAAUGUAAAAUAGUAAAAUAAAGGACAUGUUCAUUUUUUUACAGAAAUAUUAAUAUAAGGACCUGAAAAUUUAGUUGUGGACAAUAUAUACUGACAUCGGACUUAAAUAUAAGUUACAAUUGAGCGUAGUAUAUUCAAGACCCUAGUUAGCUAGUGUUGUCGCUGCGAGGCACUGUAGAAUAUAAACAAAGAAGAUGUGGUAUAAUUGCUAAUAAGACAACUCGAG